CUGGCUCAGGAUGAACGCUGGCGGCGUGCCUAACACAUGCAAGUCGAGCGAUCUCUUCGGAGAAGAGCGGCGGACGGGUGAGUAACGCGUGGGUAACCUGCCUCAUACACAUGGAUAACAUACCGAAAGGUAUGCUAAUACAGGAUAACAUAAGAGAUUCACAUGGAUUUUUUAUCAAAGCUCCGGCGGUAUGAGAUGGACCCGCGUCUGAUUAGCUAGUUGGUAAGGUAACGGCUUACCAAGGCGACGAUCAGUAGCCGACCUGAGAGGGUGAUCGGCCACAUUGGAACUGAGACACGGUCCAAACUCCUACGGGAGGCAGCAGUGGGGAAUAUUGCACAAUGGGCGAAAGCCUGAAUGCAGCAACGCCGCGUGAGUGAUGAAGGCUUUCGGGUCGUAAAACUCUGUCCUCAAGGAAGAUAAUGACGGUACUUGGGGAGGAAGCCCCGGCUAACUACGUGCCAGCCGCGGC
Molecule: ribosomal RNA, 472 nt
Filed under: uncultured bacterium
Lineage: Bacteria
Description: bacterial SSU rRNA
Rfam family: Bacterial small subunit ribosomal RNA
Source: RNAcentral